AGUGAACGCUGGCGGCGUGCUUAACACAUGCAAGUCGAGCGAAUUUCAGCAGCGUAUCGCUGAAGUUAGCGGCAGACGGGUGAGUAAUACUUAGGCAAUCUGCCCUCAAGAGGGAAACAACCUGCCGAAAGGCGGGCUAAUGUCCCAUAAGACCACAGGAUGGCAUCAUCCAGAGGUCAAAGCUCCGCAAGGGGCGCUAGAGGAGGAGCCNGAGUCCUAUCAUGGUAGUUGGUGAGGUAACGGCUCACCAAGCCUUUGACGGGUAGCCGGCCUGAAAGGGUGACCGGCCACACUGGCACUGAGACACGGGCCAGACUCCUACGGGAGGCAGCAGUGGGGAAUUUUGGACAAUGGGGCAACCCUGAUCCAGCGACGCCGCGUGGAGGACGAAGGUCUUCGGAUUGUAAACUCCUUUUGGAGGGAAGAAUGCCUACGUGAAUAACGUAGGGUGACGGUACUCUCUGAAUAAGCCACGGCUAACUACGUGCCAGC
This 492-nucleotide ribosomal RNA is filed under the name uncultured bacterium. RNAcentral's name for it is "bacterial SSU rRNA". It matches the Rfam family "Bacterial small subunit ribosomal RNA", at positions 29 to 512 of the family's 1533-position model. The record is from RNAcentral.